GACGGAGGGCGCAAGCGUUGUUCGGAAUCAUUGGGUUUAAAGGGUCCGUAGGCGGGUUUAUAAGUCAGUGGUGAAAGUCUGCAGCUCAACUGUAGAAUUGCCAUUGAUACUGUUGUCCUUGAGUAAUUAUGAAGUGGUUAGAAUAUGUAGUGUAGCGGUGAAAUGCAUAGAUAUUACAUAGAAUACCGAUUGCGAAGGCAGAUCACUAAUAAUUUACUGACGCUGAUGGACGAAAGCGUAGGUAGCGAACAGG
Molecule: unclassified non-coding RNA, 253 nt
Filed under: uncultured Flavobacteriaceae bacterium
Lineage: Bacteria; Pseudomonadati; Bacteroidota; Flavobacteriia; Flavobacteriales; Flavobacteriaceae
Description: contains 16S-23S intergenic spacer region
Rfam family: Bacterial small subunit ribosomal RNA
Source: RNAcentral